Molecule: ribosomal RNA, 467 nt
Filed under: uncultured bacterium
Lineage: Bacteria
Description: partial 16S ribosomal RNA
Rfam family: Bacterial small subunit ribosomal RNA
Source: RNAcentral
GAUGAACGCUGGCGGCGUGCUUAACACAUGCAAGUCGAACGGAAAGGCCCAAGCUUGCUUGGGUACUCGAGUGGCGAGCGGGUGAGUAACACGUGGGUGAUCUGCCCUGCACUUCGGGAUAAGCCUGGGAAACUGGGUCUAAUACCGGAUAGGACCACAUUUUGGAUGGUGUGGUGGAAAGUUUUUCGGUGUGGGAUGAGCUCGCGGCCUAUCAGCUUGUUGGUGGGGUAAUGGCCUACCAAGGCGUCGACGGGUAGCCGGCCUGAGAGGGUGUACGGCCACAUUGGGACUGAGAUACGGCCCAGACUCCUACGGGAGGCAGCAGUGGGGAAUAUUGCACAAUGGGCGCAAGCCUGAUGCAGCGACGCCGCGUGGGGGAUGACGGCCUUCGGGUUGUAAACUCCUUUCGCUAGGGACGAAGCGUUUUUGUGACGGUACCUGGAGAAGAAGCACCGGCUAACUACGUG